UGCUUCAAUUUCCGUCGCUCAUUGCAAACGGUAUCACACUACAUUCACUCAAUUUUGAGUUCAAUCUUGCAACUUCAUGGAGAUCUGCUGGUUACACCAAAACCCGUAAACGAUGGAUGUACAAAUCAGUGUUGUGAAAAGCGUUCGGGGCGCGAGGCGGUCAAAGCGUGAAUGUAAUCGCCCCGAUGCGGCGGGGUCGUGCGAGAUCCGUGGAGCGUCUGGGGCGAGCCGAUUUAGGAUUUAAAUAUUAGCGACAUUUCAUCUUCUUCCUUGAAUAAAUAAAAAAAACGGUAACUUCCAACUUUCCAUACUCUUAUUUAUGGAAUACCUACACCUUCCUUUCCAUACUCUUAUUUAUGGAAUACCUGCAACUUUCCAUACUCUUAUUUAUGGAAUACCUACACCUUCCUUUCUCUUCAGCCGCCUUCUCCUCUUUCUUCUUCUUUUUUCUUCUUCUUCUUUCUUCUUCAUCAUACCCACCUUCUUCUUCAGCAAAAGCAAAAAUCACUUUAUUCUUCAGCCGCCACUCCUUCGCCUUUCCAGUCGUGAGUCCAGAUUCUCAAGGACAUUUUUAUACAAAAUGUCUCAAGACCCAGCUAGGAAAUAUGCAAGAGCUGGUCCGCAUACCAGAUAUAAACUUACAUGCAACUUUUGCGACAAGGUGAUUGCAUCAGGAGUUCGAAGGCUCAAAGAACAUUUGGUAUUAACAGUGUCAUCUACACCUAUUCUAUUGAGUGAUAUUGAACGAAUGGUUACUUGGUAGGAUGGAGGAUGAGGAUAAUGAUCUUGAUGAUUUGGUAUUUGAGAAUGAUGAUCUUCGUUGGAUGGACGUUGGUAGAGCGUCGGAAGCAGUGUACCAUACUAGAGGUAGCACAAGCACAAGAGAACAAGCCUCAAGCUCUAUGUGUGCUUAUACUCUUAUGGAUAAUGAAGAUGACAGUGAAGAUAUUAAUUUGGUUGUAUCCGAUGAAGAAGAGGACCAACCUCUGAGUGAUGAUAAUAUUAUUUAGUUAUUUAUUUUAUGUUUUGCAACUUGUUUUGGAACUUUGAUGAUUUCUGAUGAUAAAAUUCAGUUAUUUAGUUA
Long non-coding RNA from Salvia splendens (bonfire salvia), 1084 nucleotides. RefSeq lists it as uncharacterized. The record is from RefSeq and is a predicted model, not a curated record. NCBI's taxonomy places the organism in Eukaryota, Viridiplantae, Streptophyta, Magnoliopsida, Lamiales, Lamiaceae. The transcript has 2 exons.